This 474-nucleotide ribosomal RNA is filed under the name uncultured bacterium. Its description in RNAcentral is "bacterial SSU rRNA". It matches the Rfam family "Bacterial small subunit ribosomal RNA", at positions 440 to 906 of the family's 1533-position model. The record is from RNAcentral.
GCGGAAGAAAGGGUCUGCCCUAAUAAGGUGGGCUAAUGACGGUACCGACAGAAGAAGCACCGGCUAACUACGUGCCAGCAGCCGCGGUAAUACGUAGGGUGCGAGCGUUAAUCGGAAUUACUGGGCGUAAAGCGUGCGCAGGCGGCUUUGUAAGACAGAUGUGAAAUCCCCGGGCUCAACCUGGGAACUGCGUUUGUGACUGCAAGGCUAGAGUACGGUAGAGGGGGGUGGAAUUCCACGUGUAGCAGUGAAAUGCGUAGAGAUGUGGAGGAACACCGAUGGCGAAGGCAGCCCCCUGGGCCUGUACUGACGCUCAUGCACGAAAGCGUGGGGAGCAAACAGGAUUAGAUACCCUGGUAGUCCACGCCCUAAACGAUGUCUACUAGUUGUUCGGAGCAGUAAUGCACUGGGUAACGCAGCUAACGCGUGAAGUAGACCGCCUGGGGAGUACGGUCGCAAGAUUAAAACUCAAAG